Molecule: long non-coding RNA, 1160 nt
Organism: Mus musculus (house mouse)
Lineage: Eukaryota; Metazoa; Chordata; Mammalia; Rodentia; Muridae
Product: predicted gene, 39146
Exons: 4
Source: RefSeq, a predicted model, not a curated record
UGCGGGUCUGCAUGGGCUCAGGCCUGGCUACUGCUGGACUUAUCCUGAGUGCAGAGGACACCCACACACUCCAACCGCUGGGAACACGGCUUGGCAGGGAGAAGGGCUGAGCUGGCCUUUUGUGUGACACAAAUGCUCAGUGCGGCUGCCUGAGUUCUUGUCAGGCUGAAGAAAGAAAAAGACCUGCUUGCUGGCAAUUCUCCCCAACAAAUGCGCACUGAACCUCAGAGCCCAGGAAGCUUGGGCCCUGCUCAAGGCAGGCCCACACAUCCUGCUAGACGUGACUUGAAUCCCACGGCUUCCUUGUCGGUUUCUCCCACGCACUCUCGGAGCCCUUGUCACCUUGGAGUCCAUCCCACACACAUUGCCAGCACUUAAUUUUCUGCGAAUGUUACAUGAAGAGUCAGCCUGACCUGCCAGCCUAUUGUCAGUACCCGAGGAGCACAGCCUGGCUUCUCACUGGGUGAGCUUAGGUUGACAGGUCAGCGAUGGAUCUCUGCCAAGUGGACCCCUGAGCACUGGCUACUAUGCCCACUUGUCCAGGGCCUGCCAGACACGUGGGAAUCCUUGGAAGGGAAGUCUCUGAUCCUGAUACCUGGAGGUGAGACCACACGGGAUGGAGAACUGGGGCGAUGUGUGCUCCCCUCACAGAGUCUGGUCCUAACGUGUGAUUGGUAGCCCUGACUUGAGUCUCUCUCAGAGGCUCCCUCUAUGAUCGGAUUCUCCCGACUCCGGCGAGGGUCCUAAAGUAAUCAACAUGGCUGCCCAAUUAUGGACUGCAGCCUCCAUCACUCCUUCCCUCUUUCAGUGCUACCACGCCAGGGCAGACAGAGCCUGGAGUCAGGCUCUGUGAGCACAGAUCAUCGCACAGAUACAGAGAGCGGAGAGGAAGCCGGCAAGGGGAGUGCGGUUACCUCUGAGGCUGCAGCGGAGUUGUUAAGUGCAGGAGAUUUAAAGCUUCAUUCGCCUCCCUUCUAACUUCAAGCUGUUCUAAGCCCAGUCUCCCAGACGACAAAACUCAGACCAGCUGCGAAGGAAAGGAUAUUGCUCCCUCUGGAGCCUCGGGUCUGAUUUAGAGGGUGCUUAGCGGAGGCAAGUGGGAAGACGGAGGUGAACGUUCCACGGGUCUAUUUCUGGGGAAAAUUUCUCUGCUGAAGACA